This 497-nucleotide ribosomal RNA is filed under the name uncultured bacterium. RNAcentral describes it as "partial 16S ribosomal RNA". It matches the Rfam family "Bacterial small subunit ribosomal RNA", at positions 28 to 507 of the family's 1533-position model. The record is from RNAcentral.
GAUGAACGCUGGCGGCGUGCCUAAUACAUGCAAGUCGAGCGAACGGACGCGAAGCUUGCUUCUCUGAUGUUAGCGGCGGACGUGUGAGUAACACGUGGAUACCCUACCUAUAAGACUGGGAUCACUUCGGGACACCGGAGCUAAUACCGGAUGAUCUUUUGAACCGCAUGGUUCAAAGGUGAAAGACGGUCUUGCUGUCACUUCUAGAUGCAUCUGCGCUGCAUUAGCUAGUUGUUAAGGUAACGGCUUACCACGGCAACGAGGCAUAGACGACCUGAGAGGGGGAUCGGCCACACGGGAACGGAGACACGGUCCAGGCGCCUACGGGAGGGAGCAGUAGGGAAUCUGCCGCAAUGGGCGAAAGCCUGACGGAGCAACGCCGCGUGAGUGAUGAAGGUCUUCGGAUCGUAAAACUCUGUUAUGAGGGAAGAACAGAUGUGUAAGGAACUGUGCACAUCGUGACGGUACCUAAUCAGAAAGCCACGGCUAACUACGUG